GUGUCGCUUGACAAGUAUACCUAUUAAUCAGUUGACCUCUCUCUAUUUGUGUUUUCUUCUAGGUCGGCUGACCCUGGUCUUCUUUGAGUUUAUGAUAUUCCCCGCUCGUCCGAGCUUUUGUAGGCCGAAGCAAAUGCUUAGAUGAGAAGAAGUCAGAGCAAAAGUCAAAACAAGAAGGACAAAGAAGUCUCUUCCACUCCUCUAGAGGUUGAGGAUGAGGAAGU
This 224-nucleotide long non-coding RNA is filed under the name Nicotiana benthamiana. Its description in RNAcentral is "long non-coding RNA (NBEN_LNC037319)". The record is from RNAcentral. Lineage: Eukaryota; Viridiplantae; Streptophyta; Magnoliopsida; Solanales; Solanaceae.